Long non-coding RNA from Bactrocera tryoni, 409 nucleotides. RefSeq lists it as uncharacterized. Lineage: Eukaryota; Metazoa; Arthropoda; Insecta; Diptera; Tephritidae. The transcript has 3 exons. The record is from RefSeq and is a predicted model, not a curated record.
UGUCGACAGUAGCAAUAAAAAUAAUAUAUUAAAAGCUACUAUUUUUUAACAAAAGGAAAAAGUGUUUGAAGUGUUCUAACUAUUCUUUAAAAAUAAAGAAAAAUCAAAUUUUGUGUAGUGUCAAUUUAGCGUAAAGGUUGCUUGGCUACGCAGUGCAAGGAUAACAAGUAACGAAAGCGUGUGAAAAAAGUUUUUUUUUGAAUAGUCCACUGGCUGCAACGAAAUGAAGUUGAAAGGCAUUUAGCCAAAAAAGUACUGCAGUGAAAAGAAAACUCAUGAAAAUACAUAUAAACUAGUGCUUUUCCACGUAUCUAGUCAGAGGCUGCAGUUACGCGGCGACAUCCUGCAAGCAGCUGUCGUGCCAGUGUCUACAAAUACGUGAAGAAGUUAGCAUAAAAAAAUAUUUAAG